This 241-nucleotide ribosomal RNA is filed under the name uncultured Staphylococcus sp. RNAcentral's name for it is "partial 16S ribosomal RNA". It matches the Rfam family "Bacterial small subunit ribosomal RNA", at positions 99 to 334 of the family's 1533-position model. Lineage: Bacteria; Bacillati; Bacillota; Bacilli; Caryophanales; Staphylococcaceae. The record is from RNAcentral.
CGGACGGGUGAGUAACACGUGGAUAACCUACCUAUAAGACUGGGAUAACUUCGGGAAACCGGAGCUAAUACCGGAUAAUAUUUUGAACCGCAUGGUUCAAAAGUGAAAGACGGUCUUGCUGUCACUUAUAGAUGGAUCCGCGCUGCAUUAGCUAGUUGGUAAGGUAACGGCUUACCAAGGCAACGAUGCAUAGCCGACCUGAGAGGGUGAUCGGCCACACUGGAACUUAGACACGGUCCAG